RNAcentral lists this transfer RNA (69 nucleotides) under Schizothorax prenanti. Its description in RNAcentral is "tRNA-Ser". The record is from RNAcentral. Lineage: Eukaryota; Metazoa; Chordata; Actinopteri; Cypriniformes; Cyprinidae.
AGGAGGAACUGAAAUAGUAAGCACUGCUAAUCCUUACGCCCCGAGGUUAAAAUCCGCGGCUUCCUUGUG